CCUACGGGGGGCAGCAGUGGGGAAUAUUGCACAAUGGGCGCAAGCCUGAUGCAGCCAUGCCGCGUGUGUGAAGAAGGCCUUCGGGUUGUAAAGCACUUUCAGCGGGGAGGAAGGCGGUGAGGUUAAUAACCUCAUCGAUUGACGUUACCCGCAGAAGAAGCACCGGCUAACUCCGUGCCAGCAGCCGCGGUAAUACGGAGGGUGCAAGCGUUAAUCGGAAUUACUGGGCGUAAAGCGCACGCAGGCGGUCUGUCAAGUCGGAUGUGAAAUCCCCGGGCUCAACCUGGGAACUGCAUUCGAAACUGGCAGGCUAGAGUCUUGUAGAGGGGGGUAGAAUUCCAGGUGUAGCGGUGAAAUGCGUAGAGAUCUGGAGGAAUGCCGGUGGCGAAGGCGGCCCCCUGGACAAAGACUGACGCUCAGGUGCGAAAGCGUGGGGAGCAAACAGGAUUAGAUACCCGGGUAGUC
This 465-nucleotide ribosomal RNA is filed under the name uncultured Klebsiella sp. RNAcentral describes it as "bacterial SSU rRNA". It matches the Rfam family "Bacterial small subunit ribosomal RNA", at positions 338 to 795 of the family's 1533-position model. The record is from RNAcentral. Lineage: Bacteria; Pseudomonadati; Pseudomonadota; Gammaproteobacteria; Enterobacterales; Enterobacteriaceae.